UGAAGGCGGAAAUGAAGCAGGAUCUGGCUUGCAUCUGGUGCAUGAAGAAAUUGCUGACACGUUAGUUGCAGUCUACCUCCACCAACAGGGUGGAAAACAAAGGUCGCCAUUCCGAUUAGCUGCUAUCUCCCAGUUCAAGCACUUUUGCUGUCUGGACACUGGUUCCUGUGGAUGGGGUGUUACAAGCUUCACUGUCUGAUAUAGAAGUGAUGAGCAUCCAUAAGGACACAUGCCAGAAAGAGAGUCUCUUUGGGAUGACAAACCCUCAUCACCUCAUGAGGAUACAAUGGUUGACGAAUGGUUCUCAAGCACAUCGAAACUUCAACAAAU
Molecule: long non-coding RNA, 330 nt
Organism: Ornithodoros turicata
Lineage: Eukaryota; Metazoa; Arthropoda; Arachnida; Ixodida; Argasidae
Exons: 3
Source: RefSeq, a predicted model, not a curated record